UGCGCCGGAGCCGGGGUCUGAGUCCCGGUCGCGCGGGCGAGGAACUCAUUGAGUUGCGCGUGCGGCCGGUGCUCAGUCGGCCCGGCUCCGGUACUCCGCU
This is a non-coding RNA of Mus musculus (house mouse), 100 nucleotides long. The record is from Rfam. NCBI's taxonomy places the organism in Eukaryota, Metazoa, Chordata, Mammalia, Rodentia, Muridae.